RNAcentral lists this unclassified non-coding RNA (335 nucleotides) under soil metagenome. RNAcentral's name for it is "partial contains 5.8S ribosomal RNA, internal transcribed spacer 2, and large subunit ribosomal RNA". The stretch from base 1 to 119 matches the Rfam family "5.8S ribosomal RNA", at positions 35 to 154 of the family's 154-position model. The record is from RNAcentral.
GAUGAAGAACGCAGCGAAAUGCGAUACGUAAUGUGAAUUGCAAAUUCAGUGAAUCAUCGAAUCUUUGAACGCACAUUGCGCCCGCCAGUAUUCUGGCGGGCAUGCCUGUUCGAGCGUCAUUUCAACCAUCAAGCCCCAGGCUUGUGUUGGGGACCUGCGGCUGCCGCAGGCCCUGAAAACCAGUGGCGGGCUCGCUGUCACACCGGGCGUAGUAGAUUUUAUCUCGCUCAGGGCGUGCUGCGGGUUCCGGCCGUUAAAAAGCCUUUUUUACCCAAGGUUGACCUCGGAUCAGGUAGGAAGACCCGCUGAACUUAAGCAUAUCAAUAAGCGGAGGA